This 77-nucleotide transfer RNA is filed under the name Candidatus Gemmiger stercorigallinarum. Its description in RNAcentral is "tRNA-Arg". It matches the Rfam family "tRNA". From Rfam's summary of the family: Transfer RNA (tRNA) molecules are approximately 80 nucleotides in length. Their secondary structure includes four short double-helical elements and three loops (D, anti-codon, and T loops). Lineage: Bacteria; Bacillati; Bacillota; Clostridia; Eubacteriales; Oscillospiraceae. The record is from RNAcentral.
GUCUCCGUAGCUCAGUUGGAUAGAGCGACCGCCUCCUAAGCGGUAGGCCGGAGGUUCGACUCCUCUCGGGGACACCA